CGUAACGUCGCGAGAGUUUGCGGGCCAGGCUGACAGACCGACAUUUUCUGAAAACCUGUUUUUCGGAUUAUAAAGGUUCGAAAACGUAAGGAUUCGUUGAAAAUAGAAAAAGUGAUUAUCGACCGAAACUAAUACUUUUCUCAUAUAACCAAAG
Diprion similis is the source of this 154-nucleotide long non-coding RNA. RefSeq lists it as uncharacterized. The transcript is spliced from 3 exons. The record is from RefSeq and is a predicted model, not a curated record. Lineage: Eukaryota; Metazoa; Arthropoda; Insecta; Hymenoptera; Diprionidae.